GCUUCCCUCCGAGCAGGGUGGCAUUUGAUCUGGGGCCACCGAUCCUGCCCCGGCACAGCCUCGCGUCCCCGCGGCAGGAGCGCAGAGCCGGGGCUCGGGGAGCUUGGCAGCCACGGCCGGGGACCCCGGGAGCCCGAGGAGCCCGAGGAGCCCGAGGAGCCCGAGGAGCCCGGCAGCAGCCGCGUCCGGUCUGGCCCCCUGCCGGCCGAGCGCGCCCCGGGGCGGGGAGGGUCCGGGGCGGGAGGGUCCGGGCCGGGGCCCCGCGCCGCCCUCACAGCGAGGGGUGACCCUGGCCGCCAGGGUCCGCGUGGGGGGCGCUGCCCGACCUCCGCGUCGUCCUCCGCGGCGCGGCCAGGGAGCGGGACGGCCCUGCCCCGCCGCGGAGCCCCUGGAUCCGCAGCCGCGGCCGGGAAGGCAGGCCGGCGCCCCCCGCGAUUCGGGUCCCAGCCGCCGGCACCGCCGAGCACACCCGGCUCUGCCGUCACCCCGCAGCUCCGCCCGCGCCGUGCGCAGCCCCGGGCCCGAGCCCGAGCCCAGCCGGCGCCCCCCCCCAGCAGCCGGUGCCCCCCCGGCCCCCGCCCCCCGCCGGUGUCCCCCGGCCCCCCGCCCCCCCAGCCGGUGCCUGCCCCCCCGCCGGCGCCCCCCCGCCCCCCGCCGGUGCCCCCCCAGCGGGUGCCCCCCCAGCCGGCGCCCCCCCCCCCCCGCCCCGACUCAGCCGAGCCCGCCGCGCUGCAGGCUGCGCCGCCCGGUCCCGCAGCCCCCGCGCGCAGCCCCGCGCCCCGACUCGGCUUUACCCUUCCCGCCGGGCACCCGGGGCCUCCAUGCUCCUGGGCGACGGCGAGCGCCGGCCGAGCGGCGGUGGCGGGCGGGUGCGGGCGGCCAGCCGGAGCCGGCUCUGCAGUCCCGCGGGCGGCGCGUACCGAGCGCCCCGCCGCCGCCCGCAGCCGCACCGCCCCCCGCGCCCGGCAGCGCCGCACCUGGCCCGGCAGCGAACUCCAAUUAAAGGGCCGGCGGGGCCCAGAGCCGAGCAGGUGGCCGAGCCCAGCUCACCGCAGACGCCUGGGGCCGCCGCUGGGGGGGUUAUGGGGGGCGCCGGCUGGGGGGGAGCAGGGGGGACGCCGGCUGGGGGGGGCAUGGGGGGCGCCGGCUGGGGGGGAGCAGGGGGGCGCCGGCUGGGGGGAGAGGGCGCCGGCUGGGGGGGUUAUGGGGGGCGCCGGCUGGGGGGGGCCAGGGCCACGAGCUGAGGGCGGGCGCAGGGUGUUGGCGUGCAGGACGCAGUGGCUGGCAGCUCUCCCGCGCGAGACGGGGUGUGCGGACCCCCCAGGCCGACCCCUCUGCUCCGGGCUCUGCACUCCCCCCUCCUCCCCCCGCCCCCCGCCCCCGGACCCAGCCCUUCCGUGGCUUGGAGCGAGGCGACGCAGCAGGUGUAAGGCCGCAGUGUGGCUGAAACCUGCUGCUGGGGGUCCUGCCAAGGAGCAGAGCUGCAGAGCCGGUGGGGGGGGGGUCGGCCUCCCUCCCUCCCUCCCCCAGGCUGCAGGGAAGGCUGUAUGCCCCCCCCCCCCCCCCCCCCCCCGCAAACGGUCUCUCUGCGGACUUUCACAGAGCCAGCUGGCCUGA
RNAcentral lists this long non-coding RNA (1617 nucleotides) under Canis lupus familiaris (dog). RNAcentral's name for it is "lncRNA (ENSCAFG00030015533.1)". Lineage: Eukaryota; Metazoa; Chordata; Mammalia; Carnivora; Canidae. The record is from RNAcentral.